AGAUUAAGUUAUUAAGGGCGCACGGUGGAUGCCUUGGCACUAGAAGCCGAUGAAGGACGUUACUAACGACGAUAUGCUUUGGGGAGCUGUAAGUAAGCUUUGAUCCAGAGAUUUCCGAAUGGGGAAACCCAGCAUGAGUUAUGUCAUGUUAUCGAUAUGUGAAUACAUAGCAUAUCAGAAGGCACACCCGGAGAACUGAAACAUCUUAGUACCCGGAGGAAGAGAAAGAAAAUUCGAUUCCCUUAGUAGCGGCGAGCGAAACGGGAAGAGCCCAAACCAACAAGCUUGCUUGUUGGGGUUGUAGGACACUCUAUACGGAGUUACAAAGGACGACAUUAGACGAAUCAUCUGGAAAGAUGAAUCAAAGAAGGUAAUAAUCCUGUAGUCGAAAAUGUUGUCUCUCUUGAGUGGAUCCUGAGUACGACGGAGCACGUGAAAUUCCGUCGGAAUCUGGGAGGACCAUCUCCUAAGGCUAAAUACUCUCUAGUGACCGAUAGUGAACCAGUACCGUGAGGGAAAGGUGAAAAGCACCCCGGAAGGAGAGUGAAAUAGAACCUGAAACCGUGUGCUUACAAGUAGUCAGAGCCCGUUAAUGGGUGAUGGCGUGCCUUUUGUAGA
RNAcentral lists this ribosomal RNA (618 nucleotides) under Staphylococcus aureus. RNAcentral's name for it is "partial 23S ribosomal RNA". It matches the Rfam family "Bacterial large subunit ribosomal RNA", at positions 1 to 614 of the family's 2925-position model. Lineage: Bacteria; Bacillati; Bacillota; Bacilli; Caryophanales; Staphylococcaceae. The record is from RNAcentral.